This 440-nucleotide ribosomal RNA is filed under the name uncultured bacterium. RNAcentral's name for it is "partial 16S ribosomal RNA". It matches the Rfam family "Bacterial small subunit ribosomal RNA", at positions 338 to 795 of the family's 1533-position model. The record is from RNAcentral.
CCUACGUGUGGCAGCAGUGGGGGACAUUGCACAAUGGGGGAAACCCUGAUGCAGCGACGCCGCGUGUGGGAAGACGGUAUUCUGGAUUGUAAACCACUGUCCCAAGGGACGAAAAUGACGGUACCUGGGGAGGAAGCUCCGGCUAACUACGUGCCAGCAGCAGCGGUAAUACGGAGGGAGCAAGCGUUGUCCGGAAUUACUGGGUGUAAAGGGAGCGUAGGCGGGGAUGCAAGGUGGGUGUCAAAACUACCGGCUCAACCGAUAGUCGCACUCAAAACUGCAGCUCUUGAGUGAAGUAGAGGCAGGCGGAAUUACUAGUGUAGCGGUGAAAUGCGUAGAUAUUAGGAGGAACACCAGUGGCGAAGGCGGCCUGCUGGGCUUUUACUGACGCUGAGGCUCGAAAGUGUGGGGAGCAAACAGGAUUAGAUACCCCGGUAGUC